Molecule: ribosomal RNA, 1077 nt
Filed under: Kumbadjena extrema
Lineage: Eukaryota; Metazoa; Onychophora; Udeonychophora; Euonychophora; Peripatopsidae
Description: SSU rRNA
Rfam family: Eukaryotic small subunit ribosomal RNA
Source: RNAcentral
CAUGCACGUCUAAGUACUCGCCUUGGUCUAUUUAAAGUGAAACCGCGAAUGGCUCAUUAAAUCAGUUAUGGUUCACUGGACCGUACCACAUCCUACUCGGAUAACUGUGGUAAUUCUAGAGCUAAUACAUGCAACUAGGCCCUGCCCGGCCGCUCCGUCCGUCAAAACGACGGUCGGUCGGAAAGGGCGCCAUUAUCAGCUCAAAACCGACCGGGUCGCCCGCCGUCCUCUGGACGGGCAGGGCUCCCGUUCUCGUUGACCCUUUGACGACUCUGGAUAACCUCCUAGCGGAUCGCCGGUCAAACUUAGGUCGGCCGGGUGUUUCGGCAUCCGCGCCCGACCUAACGGCGACUGGUCUUUCGAAUGUCUGCCUUAUCAACUGUCGACGGUAGGUUAGACGCCUACCGUGGUCGUAACGGGUGACGGGGAAUCAGGGUUCGAUUCCGGAGAGGGAGCCUGAGAAACGGCUACCACAUCCAAGGAAGGCAGCAGGCACGCAAAUUACCCAAUCCCCGAACGGGGAGGUAGUGACGAAAAAUAACGAUACGGGACUCUUAACGAGGCCUCGUAAUCGGAAUGAGUCCGCUCUAAAUCCUUUUAACGAGGAUCUAUCGGAGGGCAAGUCUGGUGCCAGCAGCCGCGGUAAUUCCAGCUCCGAUAGCGUAUAUUAAAGUUGCUGCGGUUAAAAAGCUCGUAGUUGGAUUUGGGUUUUCGGGCCGGCGGGCCGCCGCCUUCGAGNGGCGCGUCUCCCGCCGCGCCCCCGGAACCGCACGGUCGCAGAGGCCCCCGCGGUGCUCUUGAGUGAGUGUCCGCCGGUUCGGGUCGCCGAACGUUUACUUUGAAAAAAUUAGAGUGCUCCAGGCAGGCCGGUAAAGCGUUGUUUAAAAAAGACCCGCGCCUGAAUAGUCACGCAUGGAAUAAUGAAAGAGGACCGGUGGUCCUAUUUUGUUGGUUUUCGGGAUUUUCCGCCGUCAUGAUUAAGAGGGACGGCCGGGGGCAUUCGUACCGCGGCGCGAGAGGUGAAAUUCUAGGACCGCCGCGAGACGAACCGUUGCGAAAGCAUUUGCCAAGAAUGUU